GCCUAGCCGUAAAAUAUUUACUUACACCUUUAACCGCCCGGGAAUUACGAGCCCAAGCUUAAAACCCCAAAGGACUUGACGGUGCCCCACCCACCUAGAGGAGCCUGUUCUAUAAUCGAUUCUCCCCGAUAUACCUCACCACUUCUAGCCUAUCAGCCUGUAUACCUCCGUCGUAAGCUUACCAUAUGAACGCUUUUUAGAUGAGCUAAAAGAUUUUACAUAAAUACGUCAGGUCAAGGUGCAGCCCACGAAGUGGUAAGUAAUGGGCUACAAUUUCUAAAAUAGAACAUAACGAAAGACUAUAUGCAAUUUAGUCAUGAAGGCGGAUUUAGUAGUAAAAAGAAAAUAGAGCGUUCUUUUUAAUUAGGCGCUGGGACGCGUACACACCGCCCGUCACCCUCUUCAAACGCUUUAUCAAGUUUAUAACAAUAUUAUGCACCACAGAAGAGGUAAGUCGUAACACGGUAAGCGUACUGGAAAGUGCGCUUGGAUAAACAAAAUAUAGCUUAAUUAAAGCAUCUCGCUUACACCGAGAAUAUAUCUGUGAUACCCGGAUUAUUUUGAGCUAAAAACUUAGCUUUAAUUUACUCUAAUGUCCACCCAUACCUCAAACAACAAAAUAAAACAUUKYRCACAUUAAGUAAAGGCGAUUAAAAAAUGUCUUAAAGCUAUAAAACAAGUACCGCAAGGGAAUAGUGAAAUAAUAAUGAAAAACUAAAGCAUAUAAAAGCAGAGCCUUAACCUCG
RNAcentral lists this ribosomal RNA (746 nucleotides) under Microhyla heymonsi (Taiwan rice frog). RNAcentral's name for it is "partial 12S ribosomal RNA". The stretch from base 1 to 502 matches the Rfam family "Bacterial small subunit ribosomal RNA", at positions 794 to 1533 of the family's 1533-position model. The record is from RNAcentral. Lineage: Eukaryota; Metazoa; Chordata; Amphibia; Anura; Microhylidae.